AGGAGUGUAGCCAAAUGGUACGGCAUCGUGUUUGAGCCCGAGUUAUGUUGGUUCGAGUCCAGCCACUCCUA
Lactobacillus johnsonii NCC 533 is the source of this 71-nucleotide non-coding RNA. The record is from Rfam. Lineage: Bacteria; Bacillati; Bacillota; Bacilli; Lactobacillales; Lactobacillaceae.